UAAGUGAAGAGUUUGAUCCUGGCUCAGAGUGAACGCUGGCGGUAGGCCUAACACAUGCAAGUCGAACGGCAGCACAGUAAGAGCUUGCUCUU
This 92-nucleotide ribosomal RNA is filed under the name Stenotrophomonas maltophilia. RNAcentral describes it as "partial 16S ribosomal RNA". It matches the Rfam family "Bacterial small subunit ribosomal RNA", at positions 1 to 87 of the family's 1533-position model. Lineage: Bacteria; Pseudomonadati; Pseudomonadota; Gammaproteobacteria; Lysobacterales; Lysobacteraceae. The record is from RNAcentral.